RNAcentral lists this transfer RNA (71 nucleotides) under Marmota monax (woodchuck). RNAcentral's name for it is "tRNA.Ala". The record is from RNAcentral. Lineage: Eukaryota; Metazoa; Chordata; Mammalia; Rodentia; Sciuridae.
GGGGUUGUGGCUCAGUGGUUGAGCACUUGCCUAGCAUGUGUGAGGUACUGCGUUCAAUUCUCAGCACCACA